GUCAGCGACCCCACAGGUGAACCUGGGGGCUUGCCCGAAACCGCCUCGUGCGGUCUGGGACAAGCCCCGAUGCUGACCAGCCCCCGUGGUGUUCGCACCGCGGAGCCGUUGUCUGGAGGUGCCUCCGUUCGGACCAUUCGGUGGCUUUUCCAGCCGUAUGCUCUUCAAUCCCGAUGUUAAACAGGUUGAUGGGGUGUCCAAAGCCAGUGUAUCGGGAAGAUGGCCGCCAGACACACAGGGGCGAGGAAAACUGUAC
This is a non-coding RNA of Ktedonobacter racemifer DSM 44963, 256 nucleotides long. It matches the Rfam family "HNH endonuclease-associated RNA and ORF (HEARO) RNA". Lineage: Bacteria; Bacillati; Chloroflexota; Ktedonobacteria; Ktedonobacterales; Ktedonobacteraceae. The record is from Rfam.